UACCUGCAGCUCAAGUGGUGAUCAUUAUUAUUGGGCCUAAAACGUCCGUAGCCGGUUUAGUAAAUGUCUGGGUAAAUCGUGUAGCUUAACUAUACGACUUCCGGGUAGACUGCUAAACUUGAGACCGGGAGAAGCUAGAGGUACUCCUGGGGUAGAGGUGAAAUUCUGUAAUCCUAGGGGGACCACCAGUGGCGAAGGCGUCUAGCUAGAACGGGUCUGACGGUGAGGGACGAAGCCCUGGGGCACAAACCGGAUUAGAUACCCUGGUAGUCCAGGGUGUAAACGCUGCUUGCUUGAUGUUAGUUGGGCUCCGAGCCCAACUAGUGUCGGAGAGAAGUUGUUAAGCAAGCUGCCUGGGAAGUACGGUCGCAAGGCUGAAACUUAAAGGAAUUGGCGGGGGAGCACAGCAACGGGUGGAGCGUGCGGUUU
RNAcentral lists this ribosomal RNA (429 nucleotides) under uncultured archaeon. Its description in RNAcentral is "bacterial SSU rRNA". It matches the Rfam family "Archaeal small subunit ribosomal RNA", at positions 474 to 903 of the family's 1478-position model. The record is from RNAcentral.